AGUGAACGCUGGCGGUAGGCCUAGCACAUGCAAGUCGAACGGCAGCACAGUAAUAGCUUGCUCUUACGGGUGGCGAGUGGCGGACGGGUGAGGAAUACAUCGGAAUCUACUUUUUCGUGGGGGAGAACGUAGGGAAACUUACGCUAAUACCGCAUACGACCUACGGGUGAAAGCAUGGGAUCUUCGGACCUUGCGCGAUUGAAUGAGCCGAUGUCGGAUUAGCUAGUUGGCGGGGUAAAGGCCCACCAAGGCGACGAUCCGUAGCUGGUCUGAGAGGAUGAUCAGCCACACUGGAACUGAGACACGGUCCAGACUCCUACGGGAGGCAGCAGUGGGGAAUAUUGGACAAUGGGCGAAAGCCUGAUCCAGCCAUACCGCGUGGGUGAAGAAGGCCUUCGGGUUGUAAAGCCCUUUUGUUGGGAAAGAAAAGCAGCAGGUUAAUACCCCGCUGUUCUGACGGUACCUAAAGAAUAAGCACCGGCUAACUUCGUG
Molecule: ribosomal RNA, 492 nt
Filed under: uncultured bacterium
Lineage: Bacteria
Description: partial 16S ribosomal RNA
Rfam family: Bacterial small subunit ribosomal RNA
Source: RNAcentral